UACGGGGGGAGCAAGCGUUGUUCGGAUUUACUGGGCGUAAAGGGCGCGUAGGCGGCCAGCACAAGUCAGUUGUGAAAUCUCCGAGCUUAACUCGGAAAGGUCAACUGAUACUGUGCGGCUAGAGUGCGGAAGGGGCAACUGGAAUUCUUGGUGUAGCGGUGAAAUGCGUAGAUAUCAAGAGGAACACCUGAGGUGAAGACGGGUUGCUGGGCCGACACUGACGCUGAUAGCGCGAAAGCCAGGGGAGCAAACGGG
RNAcentral lists this ribosomal RNA (255 nucleotides) under uncultured bacterium. RNAcentral's name for it is "partial 16S ribosomal RNA". It matches the Rfam family "Bacterial small subunit ribosomal RNA", at positions 524 to 776 of the family's 1533-position model. The record is from RNAcentral.